GACUUCUGGUUUAAUGCACCUGGCCCGCGGCCCACAAGGCCUGUGAGUGCCGGCGCGCGUUUCCCAUCCUUCCAGCAACGGCUUCCCUUAACUGGGCGGCUGGAACUGGAUCUUUUACUUUGAAAAAAUUAGAGUGUUUAAAGCAGGCGUUUGCUCUGAAUACAUUAGCAUGGAAUAAUAAUCUAGGACUUCGGUUCUAUUUUGUUGGUUUCUAUAACUGAAGUAAUGAUUGAUAGGGAUAGUUGGGGGUGCUAGUAUUGGCCGGUCAGAGGUGAAAUUCUUGGAUUCGGUCAAGACUAACUUAUGCGAAAGCAUU
Molecule: ribosomal RNA, 316 nt
Filed under: uncultured Trinematidae
Lineage: Eukaryota; Cercozoa; Imbricatea; Euglyphida; Trinematidae
Description: SSU rRNA
Rfam family: Eukaryotic small subunit ribosomal RNA (bases 97-316)
Source: RNAcentral